AAUCAACGCUGGCGGCGUGCCUCAGACAUGCAAGUCGAACGAUUAAAGCUCUCUUCGGAGAGUGCAUAGAGUGGCGCACGGGUGAGUAACACGUAAGUAAUCUACCCUCGAGUGGGGAAUAACGUCCGGAAACGGACGCUAAUACCGCAUAAUGCAGCGGCACCGCAAGGUGACAGUUGUUAAAUAUUUAUCGCUUGAGGAGGAGCUUGCGGCAAAUUAGCUAGUUGGUAAGGCAACGGCUUACCAAGGCUACGAUCUGUAGCCGGCCUGAGAGGGCGGUCGGCCACACUGACACUGAAUAACGGGUCACACUCCUACGGGAGGCAGCAGUCGGGAUUUUUGGGCAAUGGGCGAAAGCCUGACCCAGCAACGCCGCGUGAAGGAUGAAUUAUUUCGGUAUGUAAACUUCAAAAGAAUAGGAAGAAUUAAUGACGGUACUAUUUAUAAGGUCCGGCUAACUACGUGCCAGCAGCCGCGGUAAUACGUAGGGACCAAGCGUUGUUCGUAUUUACUGGGCGUAAAGGGCGCGUAGGCGGCAAUUCAAGUCAGCUGUGAAAUCUCUGGUCUUAACCCG
This 574-nucleotide ribosomal RNA is filed under the name uncultured bacterium. RNAcentral's name for it is "bacterial SSU rRNA". It matches the Rfam family "Bacterial small subunit ribosomal RNA", at positions 28 to 616 of the family's 1533-position model. The record is from RNAcentral.